RNAcentral lists this long non-coding RNA (219 nucleotides) under Elaeis guineensis (African oil palm). RNAcentral's name for it is "long non-coding RNA (EGUI_LNC024675)". Lineage: Eukaryota; Viridiplantae; Streptophyta; Magnoliopsida; Arecales; Arecaceae. The record is from RNAcentral.
UAAGCUUGAGACAAUUGUGUCAGAACUUAUCACAGAGGAAACCCGACUUGCUAUUAUGUGAUCACAACAUACUCCAUCUAGUGUUUCUAUAGAAUCCGUGAUGGCUGUUGCAAACUCAUCUUCAUCAGAUUCCUCCAAAAAAUAUUGUAAGUAUUGCCAUAGACUUGGUCAUCUCAUUACAGAGUGCUUCCGAUUGCAACGUAAGCAGACUACAGGGUC